CAGCAUGCUUAGAUGAGCCCAAGCUCAGAGCUUCCAGACCCAGCCUCAGUGUUUUUAACCAUGGACAUCCUCCCAGGCAGACCAGAUGCCCUCUACGCGUAAUAUUCAGGUUUGUGCUUAGAAAAAUACAUAGAGGAUCGCAUUAUACACACCCUUCAGGGUUUUGCUUUUUUCGUUUGAAAUACCUUUGCAAAUCUUUGUCAGCAGGGGCAGGCUGGCAGGCCCGUCGGU
Molecule: long non-coding RNA, 231 nt
Filed under: Homo sapiens (human)
Lineage: Eukaryota; Metazoa; Chordata; Mammalia; Primates; Hominidae
Description: non-protein coding lnc-MED10-1:1
Source: RNAcentral